This is a long non-coding RNA of Elaeis guineensis (African oil palm), 576 nucleotides long. RefSeq lists it as uncharacterized. Lineage: Eukaryota; Viridiplantae; Streptophyta; Magnoliopsida; Arecales; Arecaceae. The record is from RefSeq and is a predicted model, not a curated record.
CAGAUUAAACGUAGGCCUUCCGAACAUGGACUCGCCCUCCAUGCCACCGGACCUCCCCUCUCCUUCUAAGUUGGACUCUGCCAAGGUCUUAAAUUGUUGUUUGUUGCUUGGCACCAUGCCAGAUGGAUAAUUUCUGCUGCUUUGGAUGGGUAAUUGCAUUCUUCCAUCAUCUCCCAAAACUUCAUCUGUACUACCCAAUUAUCUUCCAAUAGCCAUAAAAUAAGAGUCUUACACUCCAAUCAAACCUUAUCUCUCAUUUCAAAAUAUCAGAAAGAAUGACAGAUGUUGAGCAAGAGGAUCUAAAGUUCUCUAUUUACAACACAGUUCCUUUGUCGUGAUUUGUGCUCUACUCUCUCGAAGGUGUCUUGGUGAGUUUCUGUGCAGUCCAUUGCCUACAUCCCGGCUGAGGGUCUCAGAGCGGCUCCCAGACCUGGGGGACCUUCGCUUGUGCCUGUGACCAUGGUGGUGCUGUCCAUUCUCUGUUGCUUUUGUCUUCCCUGAGCCCUCUUCAUUACCAUUCUCUGCUGAUACUGUGUAGACAAAGGGCCCAGUUGGUAUGUCAUCCAUUUCCAAGAU